UUAUUUAUAGUAGGUAAUAUAUCGCUUCGUUCGUUCGGGUGACUGUCCGUCAUGGGGUGCCGCGGCAACGCGUCUGUGACGUGCAUCGUCUCCAGUCUCCAUUCCCCAAACACGACACUAUUUUUCAUAUUCCUCUCUAUGAGUUGGUGGUUUGCAGCCUCGUGUAACGGAUUUGUAAUAAAUUUUGAUCUUUUUUCACAUGUUUUUACUGAAAAUUCUGUUGUAUGUUACGAUAGUUGUCUAUUAAAACUUAGACUGCUGACAACGAGCGAUUUACUGUAUUAUUAUUCUCAAAUAUUUUCGUUUGAAACCUCGGAUUCAGAUGUCAACACGAAAGGUGCUAAUUUGUAAUCUUCCUGAAGACACUACUUCAAAUGAAAUCAUUCAGGAGCUGUUUAAAUCACAGCAUUUUAAGUAUUCAGAUAUAAAAUUUCAUGGAGACACAGCUGUUGUUACUCUGUCCAACCCAAGUGAAGCAAGAAGGGCUGCUAAACUUAUUAAUGGACAGUUAUUUCGAGGCAUAAGAAUCUCAGUUGUUGAAGCACCACCCUCUGAGUUAUCUUCUGUCAAUACUCCAUCAUCAAAUGGAAAUAGUACCUUUGUCUUGGUUGGUAAUCUUUCUUUUGACACUACAGAAGCUCAAUUCAAAGACUUGAUGAGUCCACAUGGAGAAAUCAAAAAUGUUAUCCUUGUUCGUUGUAAAUUAUCCAGGAAGAGUAAAGGCUACGGUUUUAUUGAAUAUAAGCAUAAAGAAAGUGCAGCUCGGGCGAGAGAUCAUUUUUCUAACACUAGUGCAAAAUAUGUCGAUGGCAGAAAAAUACGGGUUGAAAUAGUUCCUAAAAGUGUCACGGUUGGGGAGGCAAAACAUUCAUAUUCUUUGUUUAUUGAUAAAUUACCCAAGGGAUUUGAUAAUGAAGAAGAACUCCGAGGAUUGUUCAGCUCAGUGGGAACCAUCACUUACUGCAAGAUUGCAAGAACAAAGCAAGGUCAGCCUGGUGGUUAUGCAUUAGUUGAUUACACCACUGUACAGGCAGCUGAAAGAGGACAAACAAAACUUGAUGGUAAAAGGCUUUGGGAUUCUAACAUUCGUAUUUCUUUUUCUACACCUGGAAAAACUGCUCAAUCUUUGAUUGCCAAACAGGAAGAUAUGUUUGGUUUUGAUUUCUGUGGUUCACCACAAGUAAUGAAUCAUUUGGCACCAAGAAUACCUCCAAACUUUAAUCCAGUGUUGCAAGUACCCAUUAAUGCUUUUGAUAUUCAUGGUAUGCCUGCACCUGUAAACAUGUUUGGACCUAUGGGACCACCAGUUGCAUUGUCUACACCACCAUUGAGAGUCCCUGUACUUCAACCAGCUGUAUCUCAUGGAUGGAAUCCACGUCUCAGAACUCCUCCCAAUCCCAAUGUACUGCGUCCUCUUAUGAAGCAUCGUGCUCAAAAAGACAGAACCAAUGCCGUCAAAAUGAAGUCGAAGACAACUGUUGAAAAAAAGCCAAAGGAAUUUAUUAAAAAAGAUGAUAAUAUAAAGAAGGGAAAGGAAGAAACGAAGAAUGUAAUCAAGAAAGAUGAUUCAAAAACUGAAAAAGUUUCUAAAAAAGCUGAUGAAGCUGUAGAACAAAACAUGAAUGAGUUUUCAGGAAAGGGGCCAAGCAAAUCAAACGAAAAUUCAAAUGAAAAAGAUACUGUUGACGAGGAAGGCAAUGGUCUUACACGUGUAGUCUUUGCGGACGAUGAAGAGUUGAAACUGUUCAAAGAAUUUCAAAAAUUUCAAGAACUUAUGAAGAAACAGAAGGAGAAUUCUCAAUCAAACGAACAUAGAACGCUGUCAUUACAAGACUUGAUUUCAGUUGCAGCUGGUACAAGUCAAAAUGAAAAAAGUAAACCUGAAAGUAGUCAUUCUCAAAAAGCAAAAAAAACCUUAUCUGAGGAAAAUGUUUCUCACUUUGCUACAAAACCAUCCAUGGCUCCUAAAGAACCUUCAAUAGCCCCAACAAAACCUUCGAUAGCCCCUACAAAACCUUCGAUAGCCCCUAUAAAACCUUCAAUAGCACCUAUUAAACUAUCUCCUGCUAUGGUCAAGUCUUCGAUGCCUACAAGAAAUCAACCGGUAGUGUCCAAAAAUGCAUCUGAAAAUUCGAAAGUAUCGUCUUUUCCGUCCAAACACAACUCAAACGUUGAGGCAAACAGAUCAAAUUCAACAGCAUCAACUUUUACACCACAGCGACAUCGUCACGAAAAAUCGACUCCUCCAAAACCACAACAAGUCCAAAAAAAACCACUUUCUCUCAUGGAAUGGUCUCAACCGGAGGAGAGGAAAUCUAAUGAUGCUCGCAGCUACAAUAAUCGUCAAAAAAAGGAAGGAGAGGUUUCGAAAGAAAGUGUCAAGCAGGCUCCUUUGCAUAAUGAUGUUUCUUCGUCUUUGAAAAGGAAAUCGCUGCCAUCAAAACCUCCUAGUGUUGACAAUUUCUUGAAUAACUAUUUUGGUGGAAAAGUACCGAAAGAACAAGAUUUUGGCAAUCAGCGCAAAACAAAUGAUAAUCAGAUCGAUACACGAGUUCCUUAUGGUAAUGUUCAUAAAAGUGGUGAAAAAAUGUCAUCUGUUGGUGAUGUAACACACGGAACAUCAAAAUCAAACCUACCAUUUGGUCAGGAAAGACGGCUUUUGGUGAAGAUAUUGAAUGGCUUGUGUUUUGUCUUUGGAAAAUGACUUUUUCAUGAGGAUGAUUCAAUUCGUCUUUGAGGCCCAAGAAAAAAUGUAACACCACGUCAACUAAGACAUCGUGUUUAUUAAAGAGCCCAAAAUUGUUUGAUCAAAAAGAAUUAGUCACUGCAGUGGUUUCCAUUCUUACAAAACGUCGUUCAUUGGCCACAAAAGAUGUUCGAGGUUAGUUCUUAGCGUAUGAUACAUGUACUAUUGUGUUGACUAGACUGUCCAAUGCAGCAUUAUAAUAAUGAAGUUUACUUAAGUUGUAUGGUUGAAUUGGUGGAGUAAAAUGCUGUUGUAUAAAUGAUUUUUUUCUAAUAAAUUGAUAAAAAAAUGUUCCAAGUUGAUUCAAAUUACAAAUCUAAGGUUGUGCACUAACUUCCUACACUAGUUUUAUUCUCUUCUGCUUGGGAUCUAGCUCAGAAAAAUUUAGAUUUUCAUCUCUGUAAUGAUCUUUCGCAGAGUGUUGAUCACGAACACCUGUGACAUGUUGGGUGAAGUUGUUGAAAGAAAGUAUUUGUUUUUGAAGAAAUUCUGAGUUGAAACUAGAAUUAAGGGAGUAUAAUUUUUACAGAGUCGAUGGUUGCUUCGCACCGUUGUGUUAUCGACGAAGUUCACGAGCCUUCUACGUAUAUCUUUCUACUGCUUCUUAAUAAAAUGCAAUGACAUACAUUUAAGUAACAUAUCUGGCAUAUGAAAUACAGUGUAGUACCACAAGAAAUGGCAAUAUUUACAUUUAUUUUCUUCAUGGCGUAUAAUCAUUAUUUACUCUAAAUGUUUAAACAUGCAGAAUUUCGUCGAAGGUAGAUAAAUUGCUCGAUAUAAAUACAAAAUUAAUAGAUUGUGCAAAAGCUCAAACUGGUAUGAUGUUAUGAUUCUUGUUUUCUCCAUUUGAAUGGCAUUCAAUUCGUUUACCUAUAUUGGAUUUUUUAUGAAUUCUAUUUGUGUUAUUCGGUUUUUGCGGUCUUUAAUGCAAACAGAAUAUCUUCUUUGUUAACAUUUAAUCUGAUUCUUUGUUUUAUGUCACAUCUCCCAGAAUCCACCAGUAAAAGUUUCAUUGCAUUUAAACGUUGACAGAUUGUGGAAGCCAUAGAGGUGACUGGUGCAGAUAUUCCUUGUGUAAGAAAAGAAAGAAAAAACCAGAGUUAUACAUUUUUAGCACUUUGCUGUGUUUCCUCGAAUUUAAUGUUGGAAUUGUGAUUAGCAAUUUAUUUUUGCUGAUUCGUAUGUAUGUUUUUAAGGAGCAACCAACUGGUUAUUGGAAACAAGACCAUUUAUCAAAUUGAUUUCUCAAGAUUUGUCUCCAUAAUUAACAUUCUGUUCAUAAUAUUCAUGCAGGUUUUAGAAAAACAGAUCAACAAAAAAUUUCACUGUGUCUACAACUAUUAUGAACGCGCAAUGACUACCAGAAGCUACGAGUGGAAUUAAACGAGACAGGCAAACACAUCCGAAAGUUUAGAAAUUUGUUUACCAUGAAGGCGACAUAACUCGACCAAUUACAUGACAAUCUCUUGGAGUUGUGAAAACGAGUACGGUUGAAAAGUCAUUCUUGUCAAGCCCUGAAAUCGAUUUCAAUUAACACGAAAAUGGAAAAAAGACGUCGUAUGAAUUUAACCGAGAGGAAAUAAUCACGAUAAAAGCAAUUUAAUGAUAAAUAAAUAACUCUUUGAAAUAGAAAUGUUCACAUCAUUUAAUUCAAAUUUUCUAACAUAAGAAACAAAGAAAAAAGUUUUUGCAAAGUACUAAGUGCUAAUGCGACAUCUUACUAGUCUACUGGACACACGAUUAACCAUCAUUCUCUCUGGUAGAUCCAUCGUGUUAGCAAUCGCGAUGACGAUGAGUUUUGAAUUUCUUCGCGCAGGCCAAUCAAACAAAUGAUACAUAACGUCUUGUUUUCGUGUCCAUAGCUGAUCAAGCUGGCCAAACAAAGUAAAACAAAACUGAUUUUUUACAAUUGUAUUUUGGAAUUAUCAUUAUAUUUUAGAAAUGAAAA
Xenia sp. Carnegie-2017 is the source of this 4694-nucleotide RNA transcript. RefSeq lists it as uncharacterized. NCBI's taxonomy places the organism in Eukaryota, Metazoa, Cnidaria, Anthozoa, Malacalcyonacea, Xeniidae. The record is from RefSeq and is a predicted model, not a curated record. The transcript is spliced from 17 exons.